RNAcentral lists this ribosomal RNA (253 nucleotides) under uncultured bacterium. RNAcentral's name for it is "partial 16S ribosomal RNA". It matches the Rfam family "Bacterial small subunit ribosomal RNA", at positions 524 to 776 of the family's 1533-position model. The record is from RNAcentral.
GACGAACCGUGCGAACGUUGUUCGGAUUCACUGGGCUUAAAGGGCGCGUAGGCGGGCGGUCAAGUCGGGGGUGAAAUCUUUCAGCUUAACUGGAAAAGUGCCUCCGAUACUGAUCGCCUCGAGGGAGGUAGGGGCAUGUGGAACUUCCGGUGGAGCGGUGAAAUGCGUAGAUAUCAGGAGGAACACCGGUGGUGUAAACGGCUUUCUGGACCAUAACUGACGCUGAGGCACGAAAGCGUGGGUAGCAAACAGG